Molecule: transfer RNA, 88 nt
Filed under: Boudabousia marimammalium
Lineage: Bacteria; Bacillati; Actinomycetota; Actinomycetes; Actinomycetales; Actinomycetaceae
Description: Actinomyces marimammalium tRNA
Rfam family: tRNA
About the family: Transfer RNA (tRNA) molecules are approximately 80 nucleotides in length. Their secondary structure includes four short double-helical elements and three loops (D, anti-codon, and T loops).
Source: Rfam by way of RNAcentral
GGAGAGUUGUCUGAGCGGCCGAAAGAGACGGUCUUGAAAACCGUUGUACGGCGACCCCGUACCAAGGGUUCGAAUCCCUUACUCUCCG